RNAcentral lists this ribosomal RNA (750 nucleotides) under uncultured Cellulomonas sp. RNAcentral describes it as "bacterial SSU rRNA". It matches the Rfam family "Bacterial small subunit ribosomal RNA", at positions 28 to 790 of the family's 1533-position model. The record is from RNAcentral. Lineage: Bacteria; Bacillati; Actinomycetota; Actinomycetes; Micrococcales; Cellulomonadaceae.
GACGAACGCUGGCGGCGUGCUUAACACAUGCAAGUCGAACGAUGAAGCCCAGCUUGCUGGCUGGAUUAGUGGCGAACGGGUGAGUAACACGUGAGUAACCUGCCCUCCACUCUGGGAUAACUCCGGGAAAACGGUGCUAAUACCGGAUAUGACUUCUGCGGGCAUCCGUGGGGGUGGAAAGAUUUAUCGGUCAGGGAUGGGCUCGCGGCCUAUCAGCUUGUUGGUGGGGUGAUGGCCUACCAAGGCGACGACGGGUAGCCGGCCUGAGAGGGCGACCGGCCACACUGGGACUGAGACACGGCCCAGACUCCUACGGGAGGCAGCAGUGGGGAAUAUUGCUCAAUGGGCGCAAGCCUGAAGCAGCGACGCCGCGUGAGGGAUGAAGGCCUUCGGGUCGUAAACCUCUGUCAGCGCCGAAGAAGCGCAAGUGACGGUAGGCGCAGAAGAAGCACCGGCUAACUACGUGCCAGCAGCCGCGGUAAUACGUAGGGUGCAAGCGUUGUCCGGAAUUAUUGGGCGUAAAGAGCUCGUAGGCGGUUUGUCGCGUCUGCUGUGAAAACUCGGGGCUUAACCCCGGGCUUGCAGUGGGUACGGGCAGGCUAGAGUGCGGUAGGGGAGACUGGAAUUCCUGGUGUAGCGGUGAAAUGCGCAGAUAUCAGGAGGAACACCGGUGGCGAAGGCGGGGUCUCUGGGCCGUAACUGACGCUGAGGAGCGAAAGCAUGGGUAGCGAACAGGAUUAGAUACCCUGG